UACGUAGGGUGCGAGCGUUGUCCGGAAUUACUGGGCGUAAAGCGCUCGUAGGUGGUUUGUCGCGUUGUUCGUGAAAACUCACAGCUUAACUGUGGGCGUGCGGGCGAUACGGGCAGACUGGAGUACUGCAGGGGAGACUGGAAUUCCUGGUGUAGCGGUGGAAUGCGCAGAUAUCAGGAGGAACACCGGUGGCGAAGGCGGGUCUCUGGGCAGUAACUGACGCUGAGGAGCGAAAGCGUGGGGAGCGAACAGG
This 253-nucleotide ribosomal RNA is filed under the name uncultured bacterium. Its description in RNAcentral is "partial 16S ribosomal RNA". It matches the Rfam family "Bacterial small subunit ribosomal RNA", at positions 524 to 776 of the family's 1533-position model. The record is from RNAcentral.